UAUAUUUGCCGCUUGGAAGAAAAGCUUCCAUGUACAUAAAAAUCAUUUAAAUAAAUAUUGGAAUG
Regulatory RNA element from Formosa agariphila KMM 3901, 65 nucleotides. It matches the Rfam family "S15-Flavobacteria ribosomal protein leader". The record is from Rfam. Lineage: Bacteria; Pseudomonadati; Bacteroidota; Flavobacteriia; Flavobacteriales; Flavobacteriaceae.